ACGAACGCUGGCGGCGUGCCUAAUACAUGCAGGUUGAGCGCUGAAGGUUGGUACUUGUACCAACUGGAUGAGCAGCGAACGGGUGAGUAACGCGUGGGGAAUCUGCCUUUGAGCGGGGGACAACAUUUGGAAACGAAUGCUAAUACCGCAUAAAAACUUUAAACACAAGUUUUAAGUUUGAAAGAUGCAAUUGCAUCACUCAAAGAUGAUCCCGCGUUGUAUUAGCUAGUUGGUGGGGUAAAGGCUCACCAAGGCGAUGAUACAUAGCCGACCUGAGAGGGUGAUCGGCCACAUUGAGACUGAGACACGGCCCAAACUCCUACGGGAGGCAGCAGUAGGGAAUCUUCGGCAAUGGACGAAAGUCUGACCGAGCAACGCCGCGUGAGUGAAGAAGGUUGUCGGAUCGUAAAACUCUGUUGGUAGAGAAGAACGUUGGUGAGAGUGGAAAGCUCAUCAAGUGACGGUAACUACCCAGAAAGGGACGGCUAACUACGUG
Molecule: ribosomal RNA, 496 nt
Filed under: uncultured bacterium
Lineage: Bacteria
Description: partial 16S ribosomal RNA
Rfam family: Bacterial small subunit ribosomal RNA
Source: RNAcentral